RNAcentral lists this ribosomal RNA (403 nucleotides) under bacterium. RNAcentral's name for it is "partial 16S ribosomal RNA". It matches the Rfam family "Bacterial small subunit ribosomal RNA", at positions 355 to 776 of the family's 1533-position model. The record is from RNAcentral.
UGGGGAAUAUUGCACAAUGGGGGAAACCCUGAUGCAGCGACGCCGCGUGAACGAAGAAGGUAUUCGUAUCGUAAAGUUCUGUCCUAUGGGAAGAUAAUGACAUUACCAUAGAAGAACGCUCCGGCUAAAUACGUGCCAGCAGCCGCUGUAAUACGUAUGGAGCGAGCGUUGCCCGGAAUUAUUUGGCGUAAAGGGUACGCAGGCGGUUUAAUAAGUCGAAUGUUAAAGAUCGGGGCUCAACCCCGCAAAGAAUUGGAAACUGAUAAACUUGAGUAGUGGAGAGGAAAGUGGAAUUGCUAGUGUAGUGGUGAAAUACAUAGAUAUUAGGAGGAAUACCAGUAGCGAAGGCGACUUUCUGGACACAAACUAAAGCUGAGGUACGAAAGCGUGGGGAGCAAACAAG